GUGGAGCAUGUGGGUUAAUUUGACUCAACGCGGGGAAUCUUACUAGGUCCGGACCGAUUCUAUGAUCGUCGUACUGUGGGGUGCUACGUGAUUACUGGAUGAGUGGUGCAUGGCCGUUCUUAGUUCGUGGUGUCAGUUGUCUACUUAAUUGUCAUUGGUUCUCGUAUCAUGCGAGAACUGAUAACGAACGAGAUCGAGGCCCGUGGUUGUGUCGUUGGUUAUUAUUGUGUGCGGCAUUAACCACGGGGAUCGCGUAAUACUCCACGGUACGAUCGAAAGACUCGGCAAUAACAGGUCUGUGAUGCCCUCAGAUGUUCUAGGCUGCACACGUGCUACAUUGUGGUUUCGCGUAGUGUGUGUGUGCAUAGAACUGAUAAGAUCCCCCGCACCGAGUCUCAAUUAAUCACUUGGUUGGACUCACCGAUUGUAUAAUUAUUCGGUAUACUAA
RNAcentral lists this ribosomal RNA (448 nucleotides) under Amphistegina lobifera. RNAcentral's name for it is "SSU rRNA". It matches the Rfam family "Eukaryotic small subunit ribosomal RNA", at positions 1176 to 1607 of the family's 1831-position model. Lineage: Eukaryota; Foraminifera; Rotaliida; Amphisteginidae. The record is from RNAcentral.